GAUCAUGGCUCAGGAUGAACGCUAGCUACAGGCUUAACACAUGCAAGUCGAGGGGCAGCGGGAGCUUAGCUUGCUAAGUUUGCCGGCGACCGGCGCACGGGUGAGUAACACGUAUCCAACCUGGCCCAUACUCGGGUAUAGCCUCUCGAAAGGGAGAUUAAUCCCCGAUGUUGUUGUUUCACCGCAUGGUGUAUCAACCAAAGAAUUUCGGUAUGGGAUGGGGAUGCGUUCCAUUAGCUUGUUGGCGGGUAACGGCCCACCAAGGCGACGAUGGAUAGGGGUUCUGAGAGGAAGGUCCCCCACACUGGAACUGAGACACGGUCCAGACUCCUACGGGAGGCAGCAGUGAGGAAUAUUGGUCAAUGGGCGAGAGCCUGAACCAGCCAAGUAGCGUGAAGGAUGACUGCCCUACGGGUUGUAAACUUCUUUUGUUUGGGAAUAAAGUUCAGCACGUGUGCUGUUUUGUAUGUACCAUUCGAAUAAGCAUCGGCUAAUUCCGUG
RNAcentral lists this ribosomal RNA (501 nucleotides) under uncultured bacterium. RNAcentral's name for it is "bacterial SSU rRNA". It matches the Rfam family "Bacterial small subunit ribosomal RNA", at positions 15 to 507 of the family's 1533-position model. The record is from RNAcentral.